UAAAGGCGUAAGCCGCUCGAUGACGGGCUCGCGGCCUAUUAGCUAGUUGGCGGGGUAACGGCCCACCAAGACGAUGAUCGGUAUCCGGCCUGAGAGGGCGCACGGACACACUGGAACUGAAACACGGUCCAGACUCCUACGGGAGGCAGCAGUGGGGAAUUUUGCGCAAUGGGGGAAACCCUGACGCAGCAACGCCGCGUGGAGGAUGAAGUCCUUCGGGACGUAAACUCCUUUCGAUCGGGACGAUAAUGACGGUACCGGAAGAAGAAGCCCCGGCUAACUUCGUGCCAGCAGCCGCGGUAAUACGAGGGGGGCGAGCGUUGUUCGGAAUUAUUGGGCGUAAAGGGUGCGUAGGCGGCUUGGUAAGUCUUAUGUGAAAUCUAUGGGCUCAACUCAUAGACUGCAUGAGAAACUGCCGGGCUCGAGUGUGGGAGAGGUGAGUGGAAUUUCCGGUGUAGCGGUGAAAUGCGUAGAUAUCGGAAGGAACACCUGUGGCGAAAGCGGCUCACUGGACCACAACUGACGCUGAUGCACGAAAGCUAGGGGAGCAAACAGGAUUAGAUACCCUGGUAGUCCUGGCCCUAAACCAUGAUUGCUUGGUGUGACGGGUACCCAAUCCCGCCGUGCCGUAGCUAACGCGUUAAG
Molecule: ribosomal RNA, 645 nt
Filed under: uncultured soil bacterium
Lineage: Bacteria
Description: bacterial SSU rRNA
Rfam family: Bacterial small subunit ribosomal RNA
Source: RNAcentral